ACGCGAAUCAGGCGACGGUUUAAAUAUGGAUUUUUUUCUUGGCCACGAAAUCGCGGCGACCGUGUCGUAUAAAUCAGGAUUGAUUUUCAAAGGGAAUCAUGGGAGGUCGAGCCGCAGCCGCGAUGUCCCUUUUAACUCCGCAUUUGUUUCCGGCGGUAAAUCUAUAUUUGGCUAAUCGAACCGACGCUACUGCACACCGCGCCGUUUCCGCUGCUUUUUCGGAAGCCGCGACCAAAAGAUCGCCGUUUCGACUUUUCACGCUUUCUGCCUUCCGUUAGUCAACAAACUUUUUCAACGUUACGUCGAGUUACGACAGUUCACUGACCUCACCUUUGUCGUUGGUGUUAGAAAAUCUUUUUCGAUUCGUUUCUAGUUACGAUCGAUUGUGACAGAAUUAAGAUUAUUCUGGUAUUUGGCAAAUUAUUGUUAAAGAGUAGGUUAACGAAAGGAGUUUAAUGGAGACAAAAACAUUAGGAACUGCGGUUACGAAUGUUUUCAAUUUGAAUGCCCGAGAUUAUUCUUUAUGUGUAAUCCCGAGGAACGUGUAAUCCCCAUGGAAUCGGUAACUGAGCCGCUCUUACGGUCGAUGCACAAACUAGAUCGACGAUACUUAAACGGUAAAGCAUCCUAAUCCUCGUGAAACGCGCAGAGGCUAAUGAUCACAUGCAGCCUGCAGUGUACAUCGCAAUAAACUGGAUACGGACAAGUAAUGCCUUCAUUGACAGCUUUUCGCUAAACGUUUCUAGCAGUUCUUUAAGGUAUAUAUACGUAUCAUAAAUCAACAGUAAAUUUAAAUUGACUACUAUAAAACGUUUGCCGUAAUAAUCGAUUCUUUCUUUUAAAUGUUUACAUAAAAUUCGUCCAUGUAUUUUA
Long non-coding RNA from Bombus impatiens (common eastern bumble bee), 873 nucleotides. RefSeq lists it as uncharacterized. The record is from RefSeq and is a predicted model, not a curated record. The transcript has 5 exons. NCBI's taxonomy places the organism in Eukaryota, Metazoa, Arthropoda, Insecta, Hymenoptera, Apidae.